UGCCUGUACUAUGGACAGCUCUCAACCCAC
Molecule: non-coding RNA, 30 nt
Filed under: Mus musculus (house mouse)
Lineage: Eukaryota; Metazoa; Chordata; Mammalia; Rodentia; Muridae
Source: RNAcentral